This 440-nucleotide ribosomal RNA is filed under the name uncultured bacterium. Its description in RNAcentral is "partial 16S ribosomal RNA". It matches the Rfam family "Bacterial small subunit ribosomal RNA", at positions 338 to 795 of the family's 1533-position model. The record is from RNAcentral.
CCUACGGGAGGCAGCAGUGGGGAAUAUUGCUCAAUGGGGGAAACCCUGAAGCAGCGACGCCGCGUGAAGGAAGAAGUAUCUCGGUAUGGAAAAUUUUUUUUGCCGGGGAGCAAAUGCCGGUACCUGACUAAGAAGCCCUGGCUAAAUAAGUGAAAGCAGCCGCGGGUACAUGGAGGGGGCCAGCGUUAUCCGGAUUUACGGGGUGUAAAGGGGGCGUAGGCGGGUUAACAAGUCAGAAGUGAAAGCCCGGGGCCCAACUCCGGGACUGCUGUUGAAACUGGCGAUCUCGAUUGCAGGAGAGGUAAGCGGAAUGCGUAGUGUAGCGGUGAAAUGCGUAGAUAUUACGAGGAACACCAGUUGCGAAGGCAGCUUACUGGACUGUAAAUGACGCUGAGGCUCGAAAGCGUGGGUAUCAAACAGGAUUAGAUACCCCAGUAGUC